RNAcentral lists this ribosomal RNA (521 nucleotides) under uncultured Glomeraceae. Its description in RNAcentral is "SSU rRNA". It matches the Rfam family "Eukaryotic small subunit ribosomal RNA", at positions 569 to 1092 of the family's 1831-position model. Lineage: Eukaryota; Fungi; Glomeromycota; Glomeromycetes; Glomerales; Glomeraceae. The record is from RNAcentral.
AGCAGCCGCGGUAAUUCCAGCUCCAAUAGCGUAUAUUAAAGUUGUUGCAGUUAAAAAGCUCGUAGUUGAAUUUCGGGAUCAAUAUGUUGGUCGUGCCUUGGUACGUACUGGCGUCAUUGGUUUCUACCUUCUGAAGAACCUCGAUGUCAUUAAUUUGGUGUCUUGGGAAAUCAGGACUGUUACUUUGAAAAAAUUAGAGUGUUUAAAGCAGGCUCACGCUUGAAUACAUUAGCAUGGAAUAAUGAAAUAGGACGUUUGAUUCUAUUUUGUUGGUUUCUAGGAUCGACGUAAUGAUUAAUAGGGAUAGUUGGGGGCAUUAGUAUUCAAUUGUCAGAGGUGAAAUUCUUGGAUUUAUUGAAGACUAACUACUGCGAAAGCAUUUGCCAAGGAUGUUUUCAUUAAUCAAGAACGAAAGUUAGGGGAUCGAAGACGAUCAGAUACCGUCGUAGUCUUAACCAUAAACUAUGCCGACUAGGGAUCGGAUGAUGUUAAUUUUUUAAUGACUCAUUCGGCGCCUUACG